AUACGUAGGGGGCGAGCGUUGUCCGGAAUGAUUGGGCGUAAAGGGCGCGUAGGCGGCGCGGUAAGUCUGGAGUGAAAGUCCUGCUUUCAAGGUGGGAAUUGCUUUGGAUACUGCCGCGCUUGAGUGCAGGAGAGGUUAUCGGAAUUCCCGGUGUAGCGGUGAAAUGCGUAGAGAUCGGGAGGAACACCAGUGGCGAAGGCGGGUAACUGGACUGCAACUGACGCUGAGGCGCGAAAGUGUGGGGAGCAAACAGGAUUAGAUACCCUGGUAGUCCACACUGUAAACGAUGAAUGCUAGGUGUAAGAGGUAUCGACCCCUUUUGUGCCGGAGUCAACACAAUAAGCAUUCCGCCUGGGAAGUACGGCCGCAAGGUUGAAACUCAAAGGAAUUGACGGGG
This 397-nucleotide ribosomal RNA is filed under the name uncultured bacterium. Its description in RNAcentral is "partial 16S ribosomal RNA". It matches the Rfam family "Bacterial small subunit ribosomal RNA", at positions 523 to 918 of the family's 1533-position model. The record is from RNAcentral.